AACGCUGGCGGCAGGCCUAACACAUGCAAGUCGAGCGCACCUUUCGGGGUGAGCGGCGGACGGGUUAGUAACGCGUGGGAAUAUACCCUUUGGUACGGAAUAGCCUCUGGAAACGGAGAGUAAUACCGUAUGAGCCCUUCGGGGGAAAGAUUUAUCGCCAAAGGAUUAGCCCGCGUUAGAUUAGGUAGUUGGUGGGGUAAUGGCCUACCAAGCCUACGAUCUAUAGCUGGUUUUAGAGGAUGAUCAGCAACACUGGGACUGAGACACGGCCCAGACUCCUACGGGAGGCAGCAGUGGGGAAUCUUGGACAAUGGGCGCAAGCCUGAUCCAGCCAUGCCGCGUGAGUGAUGAAGGCCUUAGGGUCGUAAAGCUCUUUCGCCUGUGAAGAUAAUGACGGUAGCAGGUAAAGAAACCCCGGCUAACUCCGUGCCAGCAGCCGCGGUAAUACGGAGGGGGUUAGCGUUGUUCGGAAUUACUGGGCGUAAA
This 486-nucleotide ribosomal RNA is filed under the name alpha proteobacterium SOGA26. RNAcentral describes it as "bacterial SSU rRNA". It matches the Rfam family "Bacterial small subunit ribosomal RNA", at positions 32 to 564 of the family's 1533-position model. The record is from RNAcentral. Lineage: Bacteria; Pseudomonadati; Pseudomonadota; Alphaproteobacteria.